AAGCAGAGAUUUUAACUCGUACCUUUUGCAUCAUGAUUUAGCUAGUAAUAUCCAGGCAAAGAGAACUUUAGUCUGGCCCCCCGAAACUAAGUGAGCUACUCCAAGGCAGCCUAUUAAUAGGGCACACCCGUCUCUGUGGCAAAAGAGUGGGAAGAACUUUGAGUAGAGGUGACAGACCUACCGAACUUAGUUAUAGCUGGUUGUUUGAGAAAUGAAUAGGAGUUCAGCCUCGCGGCUUCUUCACUCACCCCUGUCCUACUCCCUACAGACCUUCUGAGAAACCGCGAGAGUUAGUCAAAGGGGGUACAGCCCCUUUGAAAAAGAUACAACUUUCCCAGGUGGGUAAAGAUCAUAAUAACCUAAAGUAAAAUGCUUUGGUGGGCCUAAAAGCAGCCAUCCCCUUAGAAAGCGUUAAAGCUCAGGCAUAUCAUUUACCUCAUUAUUCUGAUAAUUUAUCUCAACCCCCUAAUUUUACCAGACCGCCCCAUGCAACCAUGGGAGAGACCAUGCUAAUAUGAGUAACAAGAGGGCCAGACCCUCUCCCUGCACACGUGUAAUUCGGAACGGACUAACCACCGAAUCCUAACGGCCCCAAACAAAGAGGGUAAUGAAUGACAGACCAAACAACAAGAAAAGUCUUCAGCUUCUGACCGUUAACCCCACACUGGUGUGCCCAUAGGGAAAGACUAAAUGAAAAAGAAGGAACUCGGCAAACACAUGAAGCCUCGCCUGUUUACCAAAAACAUCGCCUCUUGCAAAUAAAGAAUAAGAGGUCCCGCCUGCCCUGUGACUAUAAGUUUAACGGCCGCGGUAUUUUGACCGUGCGAAGGUAGCGCAAUCACUUGUCUUUUAAAUGAAGACCUGUAUGAAUGGCAUAACGAGGGCUUAGCUGUCUCCUUUUUCAAGUCAAUGAAAUUGAUCUCCCCGUGCAGAAGCGGGGAUAAAACCAUAAGACGAGAAGACCCUGUGGAGCUUUAGACACUAGGGUAAAUCAUGUUAAACAUCCCUAAACAAAGGGCUAAACCAAAUGAAAAUUACUCCCAUGUCUUUGGUUGGGGCGACCGCGGGGAAACACAAAACCCCCACGUGGAAUGGGACUACUCCCUCCUACAACUCAGAGCUUCCGCUCUAAUUAACAGAAUUUCUGACCAGCAAGAUCCGGCAACGCCGAUCGACGAACCGAGUUACCCCAGGGAUAACAGCGCAAUCCCCUUUUAGAGUCCAUAUCGACAAGGGGGUUUACGACCUCGAUGUUGGAUCAGGACAUCCUAAUGGUGCAGCCGCUAUUAAGGGUUC
This 1296-nucleotide ribosomal RNA is filed under the name Micropterus dolomieu (smallmouth bass). RNAcentral's name for it is "partial 16S ribosomal RNA". It matches the Rfam family "Bacterial large subunit ribosomal RNA", at positions 568 to 2574 of the family's 2925-position model. The record is from RNAcentral. Lineage: Eukaryota; Metazoa; Chordata; Actinopteri; Centrarchiformes; Centrarchidae.